CACGGAGUUAGCCGAUGCUUUUUCUUCAGGUACACUCAUCCGGGGACACGUCCCCGCCUUUGUUCCCUGACAAAAGAGGUUUACGAUACUCUGUACCUUCCUCCCUCACGCGGCUUGGCUGGUUCAGUCUCCCGACCAUUGACCAAUAUUCCUCACUGCUGCCUCCCGUAGGAGUCUGGUCCGUGUCUCAGUACCAGUGUGGGGGACCUUCCUCUCAGAACCCCUACGCAUCGUCGGUUAGGUGGGCCGUUACCCCGCCUACUGCCUAAUGCGCCGCAUGCCCAUCCCUGUCCGGCCGAAGCCUUUCCUGCCUCCGGGAUGCCCCGGUGGCAUGUACGCGGGUUUAGCCCGCCUUUCGGCGGGUUGUCCCCCUGACAGGGGCAGGUUGCAUACGUGUUACUCACCCGUGCGCCGGUCGCCGGCGGAGAAGCAAGCUUCCUCCCCGCUGCCCCUCGACUUGCAUGUGUUAAGCCUGCCGCUAGCGUUCAUCCUGAGCCAGGAUCAAACUCU
Molecule: ribosomal RNA, 510 nt
Filed under: uncultured Bacteroidales bacterium
Lineage: Bacteria; Pseudomonadati; Bacteroidota; Bacteroidia; Bacteroidales
Description: partial 16S ribosomal RNA
Source: RNAcentral